UACGUAGGGUGCAAGCGUUAAUCGGAAUUACUGGGCGUAAAGCGUGCGCAGGCGGUUGUGCAAGACCGAUGUGAAAUCCCCGGGCUUAACCUGGGAACCGCAUUUGUGACUGCAUCGCUGGAGUGCGGCAGAGGGGGAUGGAAUUCCGCGUGUAGCAGUGAAAUGCGUAGAUAUGCGGAGGAACACCGAUGGCGAAGGCAAUCCCCUGGGCCUGCACUGACGCUCAUGCACGAAAGCGUGGGGAGCAAACAGG
This 253-nucleotide ribosomal RNA is filed under the name uncultured bacterium. RNAcentral describes it as "partial 16S ribosomal RNA". It matches the Rfam family "Bacterial small subunit ribosomal RNA", at positions 524 to 776 of the family's 1533-position model. The record is from RNAcentral.